This is a long non-coding RNA of Alosa alosa (allis shad), 571 nucleotides long. RefSeq lists it as uncharacterized. Lineage: Eukaryota; Metazoa; Chordata; Actinopteri; Clupeiformes; Clupeidae. The transcript has 2 exons. The record is from RefSeq and is a predicted model, not a curated record.
GGAGGAGGGGCGCGUGGUAUGGGUGAUAUUGAGCUCGCGACAUUGAUCCAUCCUAGUCAGAACAGCUUGGGACUCCGCAGCAGUACGACGCGCGCCUUCUCCCUGGGUCAAGUUGAAGAUUCCAGAGCGCGAGACCAAUGUAACCUCACGUUGCGAAAUCUUCGGCACGAGCCACGUUAACGUCGGCAUCAGAGGCAAUGGCGAUGCGCAAGUGUGGGGGAAGACACGCGCGGGUUUUCUGACCAUCUUCAGCAGUCUCGCGGUAGGCACUGAUGCUCUCUACGUGGGGAGAUGCAGCAAGAGACGUUUAAUACAAACACGCGAAGGUACGGGUAAUAACAGCAACAUUCUGCUCAGCCCACCCGCGAACGUGCCGUUAUCUCUACGUGAAACAGCUGGUGUGUGAUCCUGAGCGCGCGUGUUCGUGUAGGGAUAUGCCUGUUUCCAGCUGUGGCAGAGAGUCUACUUCUGGGCUUUUGUCUAUCAUGACUCUCUUUCAUUCUACAUCCAGUUAACACACACACAUACACAGUCACUCACACAUAGAUACACACACACACACACACACACA